Peromyscus eremicus (cactus mouse) is the source of this 1160-nucleotide long non-coding RNA. RefSeq lists it as uncharacterized. Lineage: Eukaryota; Metazoa; Chordata; Mammalia; Rodentia; Cricetidae. The record is from RefSeq and is a predicted model, not a curated record. The transcript has 2 exons.
GACAUCUGUGUAGCUGGGCCUGUAGGAGGAUCGCUGGGUGCACCGGCUCGCCAGUCUGAGGCAGCCUGCAGCAGGGCACAGCCCUGGUCCAUCUUCCUGCAAAGUUCUACCCAAGGGCAAGUGAAACCUUACUUCUUGCAUUCAGCCUUUGCCUUUCUCAGGUUCCCACAUGCCACAUGAGAAUCAUCUGCACACUUAAAUCCAGCAAAUGCCUGUAGGCAUUGCACUUAACAGCUCAGAGGAUGAUUCAGAGGAAGCAAUUUCCCCAGGGGAAGGUAAUCAUCUGUUGGUGUGAAAAGGCAGGCUCUCAUUAGCAUUGGAAAUGGAGGAGAAUGUUGCUGGAUCCACAGAGGCAGGACUGCAGUGUGUGGCUGCAUUACAAUAUCCACAGCUGGAAGGUGGGACUCCCAGACUCCCACGCCUACUCAGAACUCACCCACAGAACCAGCUCAAAUGGCAGGAAGGUGGACAUUCAACUUUGGAGCCUCCCCACUCCCACCCAGAUGAGUGCCUGCCCUGUGGUACCAGCCUCCUAUACAGUUCCUGUGCCUGCUUCCUCAAAGCCAUCCACCGAGGAGUCCAUGAACUCAACACAUUUGGGAUUAAACUGGCAUCACAGAGGCUGAGAGGAUCGGGAUCCUGCCACUACUCAGAGGACCUGGGUGGCUCCUGGAGUGCUUGCCUUUGCCUCCUGCUUGUCUGUUCGGCCUCUGCAUGAGUACAGAUGCUCCCUGGGAGAGGACUGGCCUGGAGGACGUGGAACUGCAGCCAGAGUGGUCCUUCUGUGGCCUCCUUUCCACUACAGACCAUCAGAGGAGUGAGAACCCAAAAGGAGGCCAGUUCAGCCAGCCCCGGACACACCCAGGACACAUGCCCACACAGUGAGAAGCUAGUGCUGCUCAAAGCCAUCUGAAGCUGGGAAAGAAAACCCAAGUUCAGUUUACCAAGAUGUCUGUAUUAUCUAUAAAAACUGAACUGUAAGGAGUCACUGAUACCGGGCAUGAUGGUAAUCCGAUGGCUUGCUGGCAUGUGGAGGGUAGACGGCUUCAGCCCAUUGAGGCCACAGUAAGACACUGAGUGGCACGUGGGAAGUCAUUUGUAAGGCCUCAGAAACCUUGCCACUUUGGAACGCAGCAAUCGUAUGAAAGAUCUUGGAAACA